CAGCCGCCGCGGUAAUACCGGCGGCCCGAGUGGCGGCCACUAUUAUUGGGCCUAAAGCGUCCGUAGCCGGGCUGGUAAGUCCCCCGGGAAAUCUGGCGGCUUAACCGUCAGAAUUCCGGGGGAUACUGCCAGCCUAGGGACCGGGAGAGGCCGGGGGUAUUCCCGGGGUAGGGGUGAAAUCCUGUAAUCCCGGGAGGACCACCUGUGGCGAAGGCGCCCGGCUGGAACGGGUCCGACGGUGAGGGACGAAGGCCAGGGGAGCGAACCGGAUUAGAUACCCGGGUAGUCCUGGCUGUAAACGAUGCGGACUAGGUGUCGGGCAAGCUAAGGGCUUGUCCGGUGCCGCAGGGAAGCCGUUAAGUCCGCCGCCUGGGGAGUACGGCCGCAAGGCUGAAACUUAAAGGAAUUGGCGGG
This 414-nucleotide ribosomal RNA is filed under the name uncultured microorganism. RNAcentral's name for it is "bacterial SSU rRNA". It matches the Rfam family "Archaeal small subunit ribosomal RNA", at positions 459 to 872 of the family's 1478-position model. The record is from RNAcentral.